GACGAACGCUGGCGGCGUGCUUAACACAUGCAAGCCGAACGGUGAAGCGCCUUCCUUUUUGGUGGGUGUGGAUGAGUGGCGAACGGGUGAGUAACACGUGAGUAACCUGCCCCCUUCUUCUGGAUAACCGCAUGAAAGUGUGGCUAAUACGGGAUAUUCUGGGUCUGUCGCAUGAUGGGUCUGGGAAAGAUAUUGUUUCGGUGGGGGAUGGGCUCGCGGCCUAUCAGCUUGUUGGUGGGGUGAUGGCCUACCAAGGCGGUGACGGGUAGCCGGCCUGAGAGGGUGGACGGUCACACUGGGACUGAGACACGGCCCAGACUCCUACGGGAGGCAGCAGUGGGGAAUAUUGCACAAUGGGCGCAAGCCUGAUGCAGCGACGCCGCGUGAGGGAUGGAGGCCUUCGGGUUGUGAACCUCUUUCGCCAGUGAAGCAGGCCUGCCUCGUUUGUGGGUGGGUUGACGGUAGCUGGAUAAGAAGCGCCGGCUAACUACGUG
RNAcentral lists this ribosomal RNA (494 nucleotides) under uncultured bacterium. RNAcentral describes it as "partial 16S ribosomal RNA". It matches the Rfam family "Bacterial small subunit ribosomal RNA", at positions 28 to 507 of the family's 1533-position model. The record is from RNAcentral.